CCUACGGGUGGCAGCAGUGAGGAAUAUUGGUCAAUGGGCGAGAGCCUGAACCAGCCAAGUAGCGUGAGGGAUGACGGUCCUAUGGGUUGUAAACUUCUUUUAUCUGGGAAUAAAAUGCUCCACGUGUGGCGUUCUGUGUGUACCCUAUGAAUAAGCAUCGGCUAACUCCGUGCCAGCAGCCGCGGUAAUACGGAGGAUGCGAGCGUUAUCCGGAUUUAUUGGGUUUAAAGGGUGCGCAGGCGGAGGAGCAAGUCAGCGGUAAAAUUGAGGGGCUCAACCCCGUCGUGCCGUUGAAACUGGUUCCCUUGAGUGCGCGAGAAGUAUGCGGAAUGCGUGGUGUAGCGGUGAAAUGCAUAGAUAUCACGCAGAACUCCGAUUGCGAAGGCAGCACACCGGCGCGCAACUGACGCUCAUGCACGAAAGUGUGGGUAUCGAACAGGAUUAGAUACCCUAGUAGUC
This 459-nucleotide ribosomal RNA is filed under the name uncultured bacterium. Its description in RNAcentral is "partial 16S ribosomal RNA". It matches the Rfam family "Bacterial small subunit ribosomal RNA", at positions 338 to 795 of the family's 1533-position model. The record is from RNAcentral.